GACGAACGCUGGCGGCGUGCUUAACACAUGCAAGUCGAACGGAAAGGCCUGUCCUUCCUUGUGUUGGACGGGUACUCGAGUGGCGAACGGGUGAGUAACACGUGAGUGAUCUGCCCCCAACUUGGGUAUAAGCCUGGGAAACUGGGUCUAAUUCCCGAUAGGACUGCAGGGUGGUGCCUGUGGUGGAAAACGAUUUUCUAGUGGUUGGGGAUGAGCUCGCGGCCUAUCAGCUUGUUGGUGGGGUAAUGGCCUACCAAGGCGGCGACGGGUAGCCGGCCUGGGAGGGUGGACGGCCACAUUGGGACUGAGAUACGGCCCAGACUCCUACGGGAGGCAGCAGUGGGGAAUAGUGCACAAUGGGCGGAAGCCUGAUGCAGCGACGCCGCGUGGGGGAUGACGGCCUUCGGGUUGUAAACUCCUUUCGACCGCGAGGAAGCCGCCUGGUUGGAAGGGUGGUGACGGUAGUGGUAGAAGAAGCACCGGCUAACUACGUG
This 494-nucleotide ribosomal RNA is filed under the name uncultured bacterium. Its description in RNAcentral is "partial 16S ribosomal RNA". It matches the Rfam family "Bacterial small subunit ribosomal RNA", at positions 28 to 507 of the family's 1533-position model. The record is from RNAcentral.